This 1406-nucleotide long non-coding RNA is filed under the name Homo sapiens (human). RNAcentral describes it as "long non-coding RNA NONHSAT175093.1". Lineage: Eukaryota; Metazoa; Chordata; Mammalia; Primates; Hominidae. The record is from RNAcentral.
AAAAGAGUCAUUGCAGUGGUGGGGUCAGCUAUUAACAUCUCUCUUUUCCUGGAAACCAGUUGAUGCCUAUAAGAGGGGUUUCCUCAGCUCUCUGAAUAACUUCAAUUUGUUCUUUUUGGGCCAAGCCCUGUGCUGCCUGGUCCUGCUGAUGAGAGUUCGGCUAGAGGGAGGGGUGGGGAGGGGCCUGAGCUGGGGGACCAGCAGGGGGGCAGCCUGCAGCCCUGAACCCUAAUCCUCGUCACUGUCCCUUCUCUGCCUCAUAAAGGUGUUCUUGCUCUUUCUCCUUUCUAGCCAAGUCUCCUCCCUCCACAUAUGUGUUCUCAUCUAGAUCAGUUUCGAUUCCCGCUGGUGGAAAGCAGCCUCAGGCAGGGCCACUGCGCAGGAAGGGCGGGCCUGGGUGCAGGCGGGGCUCCGGGAGUCACCCCCAGACGCGCGGCUCCCCUUCCUUGUCCUCCGCAUGACGCCCGUGCCGGAGCCCACGUGAGCCUUUGCCAAGGAGAGAUUCAGAGAUAUGAGCAGAAAAACUGGAAGAUGGACUUCUUCAAUAAGGCAGCGGGACGGUUUGGCUGAUGGAAGAUGUUUCCCGGAAGCCUGUUCACGCUCCACCCUGAAAGUCCCAGGGCCGUGAGAGUCAGCCGGGCCGCCGAGGCGGUGCCCUCCAGGCUGCAGGAUGAUCCAGGGACUGUUUUCCUCAGCACUGUGUAGGUUUCAGCUUAUGAGUUCUGUCCAUGUUUUGUGAGAUUUAUAGCUAAGUAUUUACCUUUUCGAAUGAUUAUAAACAACAUAGUAGUUUUAAUUUUAGUGUCUACUUGUUUUUUGUUACUAUAUAGAAAUACAAUCGAUUUUCAUAUAUUUAUGUUGCAUCCUCUGUGCUUCUAAACUCACUAGUUUUGGAAGCUGUUUUUUGUUUUUAGAUUCCUUAAAAUUUUAUAUAUGGGCAAUCAUGUCAUUUAAUAAUCAACCUGUAUGCCUAAAAUAAUCAACCUGUAUGCCUAAAAUAAUCAACCUGUAUGCCUUUUAUUGUAAGAAAAUCCCUAAAUACUGGGAUUACAGGUGGUGAGCCACCGUGUCCAACCUGAAACUUUUUUUUUGGUGAUUUCAAAUGAACUUGACUUUUACUGUAAUUAUACCUAAAGUAUUUGUAAACAAUUGUUUAGAACUUCUAUUUGUCAUGGACUUUUGAGUUUAUUCUUUGGAUCAUAUAAAAAGACUUUUUUUUUUUGUUUUUAAAGUUAUAAAUCUCUGUAUGCACUUUGCUUUUCUUAAUUAAACAUAAUCCAAAGUAAGCUGUGACUCAUUUAUUUAUUUAUUUAUUUGAGACAGGGUGUCGCUUUGUCACCCAGGCUAUGGCUCCAUCUUGGCUCACUGCAGCCUCAACCUCCCAGGCUCAAGCAAUCUUCCCACCC